GAUGAACGCUGGCGGCGUGCCUAAUACAUGCAAGUCGAGCGAACGGACGAGAAGCUUGCUUUUCUGAUGUUAGCGGCGGACGGGUGAGUAACACGUGGAUAACCUACCUAUAAGACUGGGAUAACUUCGGGAAACCGGAGCUAAUACCGGAUAAUAUUUUGAACCGCAUGGUUCAAAAGUGAAAGACGGUCUUGCUGUCACUUAUAGAUGGAUCCGCGCUGCAUUAGCUAGUUGGUAAGGUAACGGCUUACCAAGGCAACGAUGCAUAGCCGACCUGAGAGGGUGAUCGGCCACACUGGAACUGAGACACGGUCCAGACUCCUACGGGAGGCAGCAGUAGGGAAUCUUCCGCAAUGGGCGAAAGCCUGACGGAGCAACGCCGCGUGAGUGAUGAAGGUCUUCGGAUCGUAAAACUCUGUUAUUAGGGAAGAACAUAUGUGUAAGUAACUGUGCACAUCUUGGCGGUACCUAAUCAGAAAGCCACGGCUAACUACGUGCCAGCAGCCGCGGUAAUACGUAGGUGGCAAGCGUUAUCCGGAAUUAUUGGGCGUAAAGCGCGCGUAGGCGGUUUUUUAAGUCUGAUGUGAAAGCCCACGGCUCAACCGUGGAGGGUCAUUGGAAACUGGAAAACUUGAGUGCAGAAGAGGAAAGUGGAAUUCCAUGUGUAGCGGUGAAAUGCGCAGAGAUGUGGAGGAACACCAGUGGCGAAGGCGACUUUCUGGUCUGUAACUGACGCUGAUGUGCGAAAGCGUGGGGAUCGAACAGGAUUAGAUACCCUGGUAGUCCACGCCGUAAACGAUGAGUGCUAAGUGUUAGGGGGUUUCCGCCCCUUAGUGCUGCAGCUAACGCAUUAAGCACUCCGCCUGGGGAGUACGACCGCAAGGUUGAAACUCAAAGGAAUUGACGGGGGCCCGCACAAGCGGUGGAGCAUGUGGUUUAAUUCGAAGCAACGCGAAGAACCUUACCAAAUCUUGACAUCCUUUGACAACUCUAGAGAUAGAGCCUUCCCCUUCGGGGGACAAAGUGACAGGUGGUGCAUGGUUGUCGUCAGCUCGUGUCGUGAGAUGUUGGGUUAAGUCCCGCAACGAGCGCAACCCUUAAGCUUAGUUGCCAUCAUUAAGUUGGGCACUCUAAGUUGACUGCCGGUGACAAACCGGAGGAAGGUGGGGAUGACGUCAAAUCAUCAUGCCCCUUAUGAUUUGGGCUACACACGUGCUACAAUGGACAAUACAAAGGGCAGCGAAACCGCGAGGUCAAGCAAAUCCCAUAAAGUUGUUCUCAGUUCGGAUUGUAGUCUGCAACUCGACUACAUGAAGCUGGAAUCGCUAGUAAUCGUAGAUCAGCAUGCUACGGUGAAUACGUUCCCGGGUCU
This 1372-nucleotide ribosomal RNA is filed under the name uncultured bacterium. RNAcentral's name for it is "bacterial SSU rRNA". It matches the Rfam family "Bacterial small subunit ribosomal RNA", at positions 28 to 1381 of the family's 1533-position model. The record is from RNAcentral.